Molecule: long non-coding RNA, 255 nt
Organism: Caenorhabditis elegans
Lineage: Eukaryota; Metazoa; Nematoda; Chromadorea; Rhabditida; Rhabditidae
Gene: linc-14
Product: ncRNA
Source: Ensembl
CCUUGGGCGACUGCUGUGUUGCCCUCCUCUUGUCUUCUCUGGCUUUUUAUUGAUUUUUAUCUAUUUUUGCUUCAUUUAUUCACUUUAAAAGUUCAGAAAUGUGCGCUGGAAUGUAAAAAAUGACUGCCAACAAGUAAUCAACCUAUUAAGUGGACACAGUUUGCCAGGAAAAACGCAAUCUUCUGUUUUUAUCAACCUUCGAAGAAUAAAGUUAGAAAAAGUUCCAGAUUUGCGGGUUCCAAGACUUUUUGAAUG